Molecule: long non-coding RNA, 1692 nt
Organism: Amphiprion ocellaris (clown anemonefish)
Lineage: Eukaryota; Metazoa; Chordata; Actinopteri; Pomacentridae
Exons: 4
Source: RefSeq, a predicted model, not a curated record
UACUGCACUUUAUAUGCAGCUUUAGUGUCAGAUAUAAUGUGUGCCAUGCAGUCCAGAUGUUGGUGGAGUUUAUUUCUGUGUGUGUUGACCAGAGAAGAGAGUUAGCAUCCAGUAAAUAUUAGCUUUAAUGUUAGCGAUGCUAACCGAGGUAGCUGCUCAGUCGUAGCCUGAUUAAAGCUAACGUAGCAUUAAGCUAACGUAGCCUUAAGCUAACGAUGUUUGUGUUGUUUCAUGUAAACAGCUGAAGUGUGUUGUGUUACUGUAAUGUGGUACAUUUAGUUAAUAAAACUGUUCAUGGAGACGCUGGUUCACAUUAAUGUAACGUUUAGAAAACCUAAAUGGGAUUAAAACAGUGAGGUUACCGUUCUGUGUUGUCAGUAGUCGUGAAUAUCUGCUGAGUCUCUGAAGUUAAACUGGAGAAAACAGUAAAUCUGCUCUCUAGUCGUUAACGUUGUUUAAUGACUGAUUCACAUGUUGUAGUACAUUUUAGUGCAGAUUAAAAAAAUAACCUCCCAGAAUAUGUCCAAAGUAAUGAUGAACACUACAGUUAUUACAUUUAAAUUACAGCACAGAUAAACUGGAUAAUAAAAUCCUCUCCUCUAAAGCUAAAGUGACUGCAGGCCUUUCUGUCUUUCAGUGCUUGGAAAACUAUAUGAAACAGGAAAUCUUUCCAGGGUCACUAUAAAAUGAAUCUCUACUGUUGAUGCUGAUACUGUGACGUCUGUCUUCAUCUCAGGUGUCUCAUGUUCACUGUGAGGAUCUUCUGAGUGAAGCCAACAGAAGGAAAACCUCAUCUGGAUGUGAAGAAGGAGACUGAAUGGACGACAUCCUCAGUGAACCACUUCCUGUUUAACUUUCACUUACAGAAGAGUGAAAGUAGCAGUUCCUCCUGAAGGUCAGAGAUUGCAGCAACCGAGGGCCUCUUCAAAAGAAGAUGUAGUUGAUGAAGGCGUUCUGGAGCAGGACCAGAAAGACCACGACCAAGCAGCCUUGAGAUCUUAGACAGCGUCUCCCUCAGGUCCCUCUCUAUCUCCCCACACAUCCACCAACCACUGGAACACAUCUCCAAAGUUCUGCUGGACCAGCUCAGCUUCCCCUCAGAAGAAGUGCUGCCACCUGCCAGAUGAAGGAGCCUUUUGAGAGGCAGCUGGCAUCGUGAUUGGACUGUACUUUGGUCUGUUCCAAUCCAGCUUCAGCUCCAGAGACGGCAGGUGGGACGAGUCAACGGAGGCCGGAUGGACAAAGGCAUGAAGCUGAGUACAAUCCAGAAAACAACAGAGGAGGAGUGCAGCAGCCCAGAGCCAGAACAACCAGAGUAGCAUGACCAAAGAACUACAGACUCUUCACAACCUGCUCAAACUCUUGGUACAGGACCUCACCACACGGGUCAAGAAGGUUUCUGUCUCAUUUCUACUCUGAAGCUCACCUUCUCCUGCUCAAACUGCUGACAAAUGUUUCUGCUGCUCUAAAGUCUGGUCUCCAGAACUUCCUAAAAACUCUCCAAGUCUCCUCUGCUGCAGGUUGCUUUGUAGAACUGUUCCAGAAAACCUCACUAAACUACAUGGAGGGGCCUCAAGAUAGUCGUCCAAAUGAAACCGUACAAAAACCAAACUAGCACAACCCAAACGCUAAAGUCUCCUGCAGCCUACCAGAGAACCUCUGAGAACAGAGAAUCAGGACAGGAACUCUUAC